GACGAACGCGGCGGCGUGCCUAAUACAUGCAAGUGGGACGCAAGGGAACACACUGUGCUUGCACACCGUGUUUUCUUGAGUCGCGAACGGGUGAGUAACGCGUAGGUAACCUGCCUAUUAGCGGGGGAUAACUAUUGGAAACGAUAGCUAAUACCGCAUAAUAUUAAUUAUUGCAUGAUAAUUGAUUGAAAGAUGCAAGCGCAUCACUAGUAGAUGGACCUGCGUUGUAUUAGCUAGUUGGUAAGGUAAGAGCUUACCAAGGCGACGAUACAUAGCCGACCUGAGAGGGUGAUCGGCCACACUGGGACUGAGACACGGCCCAGACUCCUACGGGAGGCAGCAGUAGGGAAUCUUCGGCAAUGGACGAAAGUCUGACCGAGCAACGCCGCGUGAGUGAAGAAGGUUUUCGGAUCGUAAAGCUCUGUUGUAAGUCAAGAACGUGUGUGAGAGUGGAAAGUUCACACAGUGACGGAGCUACCAGAAA
This 484-nucleotide ribosomal RNA is filed under the name Streptococcus mutans. Its description in RNAcentral is "bacterial SSU rRNA". It matches the Rfam family "Bacterial small subunit ribosomal RNA", at positions 28 to 489 of the family's 1533-position model. Lineage: Bacteria; Bacillati; Bacillota; Bacilli; Lactobacillales; Streptococcaceae. The record is from RNAcentral.